GACUGACGCUCAGGUGCGAAAGCGUGGGGAGCAACCAGGAUUAGAUACCCUGGUAGUCCACGCCGUAAACGAUGUCGACUUGGAGGUUGUGCCCUUGAGGCGUGGCUUCCGGAGCUAACGCGUUAAGUCGUCCGCCUGGGGAGUACGGCCGCAAGGUUAAAACUCAAAUGAAUUGACGGGGGCCCGCACAAGCGGUGGAGCAUGUGGUUUAAUUCGAUGCAACGCGAAGAACCUUACCUACUCUUGACAUCCAGAGAACUUAGCAGAGAUGCUUUGGUGCCUUCGGGAACUCUGAGACAGGUGCUGCAUGGCUGUCGUCAGCUCGUGUUGUGAAAUGUUGGGUUAAGUCCCGCAACGAGCGCAACCCUUAUCCUUUGUUGCCAGCGGUCAGGCCGGGAACUCAAAGGAGACUGCCAGUGAUAAACUGGAGGAAGGUGGGGAUGACGUCAAGUCAUCAUGGCCCUUACGAGUAGGGCUACACACGUGCUACAAUGGCGCAUACAAAGAGAAGCGACCUCGCGAGAGCAAGCGGACCUCAUAAAGUGCGUCGUAGUCCGGAUUGGAGUCUGCAACUCGACUCCAUGAAGUCGGAAUCGCUAGUAAUCGUGGAUCAGAAUGCCACGGUGAAUACGUUCCCGGGCCUUGUACACACCGCCCGUCACACCAUGGGAGUGGGUUGCAAAAGAAGUAG
RNAcentral lists this ribosomal RNA (691 nucleotides) under Enterobacter cloacae. RNAcentral describes it as "bacterial SSU rRNA". It matches the Rfam family "Bacterial small subunit ribosomal RNA", at positions 738 to 1429 of the family's 1533-position model. The record is from RNAcentral. Lineage: Bacteria; Pseudomonadati; Pseudomonadota; Gammaproteobacteria; Enterobacterales; Enterobacteriaceae.